RNAcentral lists this ribosomal RNA (619 nucleotides) under uncultured bacterium. RNAcentral describes it as "bacterial SSU rRNA". It matches the Rfam family "Bacterial small subunit ribosomal RNA", at positions 338 to 950 of the family's 1533-position model. The record is from RNAcentral.
CCUACGGGAGGCAGCAGUGGGGAAUUUUGGACAAUGGGCGAAAGCCUGAUCCAGCCAUGCCGCGUGCAGGAUGAAGGCCUUCGGGUUGUAAACUGCUUUUGUACGGAACGAAAAGGUCUUUUCUAAUAAAGAAGGCUCAUGACGGUACCGUAAGAAUAAGCACCGGCUAACUACGUGCCAGCAGCCGCGGUAAUACGUAGGGUGCGAGCGUUAAUCGGAAUUACUGGGCGUAAAGCGUGCGCAGGCGGUUAUAUAAGACAGUUGUGAAAUCCCCGGGCUCAACCUGGGAACUGCAUCUGUGACUGUAUAGCUAGAGUACGGUAGAGGGGGAUGGAAUUCCGCGUGUAGCAGUGAAAUGCGUAGAUAUGCGGAGGAACACCGAUGGCGAAGGCAAUCCCCUGGACCUGUACUGACGCUCAUGCACGAAAGCGUGGGGAGCAAACAGGAUUAGAUACCCUGGUAGUCCACGCCCUAAACGAUGUCAACUGGUUGUUGGGUCUUCACUGACUCAGUAACGAAGCUAACGCGUGAAGUUGACCGCCUGGGGAGUACGGCCGCAAGGUUGAAACUCAAAGAGUAGUGCGNGNGAGAGCGACGACGACGACGACGGAGGGAGGAG